AUUGAACGCUGGCGGCAGGCCUAACACAUGCAAGUCGAACGGUAACAGGAAACAGCUUGCUGUUUCGCUGACGAGUGGCGGACGGGUGAGUAAUGUCUGGGAAACUGCCUGAUGGAGGGGGAUAACUACUGGAAACGGUAGCUAAUACCGCAUAACGUCGCAAGACCAAAGAGGGGGACCCUCGGGCCUCUUGCCAUCGGAUGUGCCCAGAUGGGAUUAGCUUGUUGGUGGGGUAACGGCUCACCAAGGCGACGAUCCCUAGCUGGUCUGAGAGGAUGACGGGCCACACUGGAACUGAGACACGGUCCAGACUCCUACGGGAGGCAGCAGUGGGGAAUAUUGCACAGAGGGCGCAAGCCUGAUGCAGCCAUGCCGCGUGUAUGAAGAAGGCCUUCGGGUUGUAAAGUACUUUCAGCGGGGAGGAAGGGAGUAAAGUUAAUACCUUGGCUCAUUGACGUUACCCGCAGAAGAAGCACCGGCUAACUCCGUG
Molecule: ribosomal RNA, 490 nt
Filed under: uncultured bacterium
Lineage: Bacteria
Description: partial 16S ribosomal RNA
Rfam family: Bacterial small subunit ribosomal RNA
Source: RNAcentral